RNAcentral lists this transfer RNA (74 nucleotides) under Spirochaetota bacterium. Its description in RNAcentral is "Spirochaetes bacterium tRNA-Pro". It matches the Rfam family "tRNA". Rfam says of the family: Transfer RNA (tRNA) molecules are approximately 80 nucleotides in length. Their secondary structure includes four short double-helical elements and three loops (D, anti-codon, and T loops). Further hydrogen bonds mediate the characteristic L-shaped molecular structure. tRNAs have two regions of fundamental functional importance: the anti-codon, which is responsible for specific mRNA codon recognition, and the 3' end, to which the tRNAs corresponding amino acid is attached (by aminoacyl-tRNA synthetases). tRNAs cope with the degeneracy of the genetic code in two manners: having more than one tRNA (with a specific anti-codon) for a particular amino acid; and 'wobble' base-pairing, i.e. permitting non-standard base-pairing at the 3rd anti-codon position. RNAcentral also lists the same sequence under 1 other name. Lineage: Bacteria; Pseudomonadati; Spirochaetota. The record is from RNAcentral.
CGGGCUGUAGCGCAGUGGUCUAGCGUACAUGACUGGGGGUCAUGGGGUCGGCGGUUCAAAUCCGCCCAGCCCGA